CAGUAGCCGCGGUAAUACGUAGGGAGCAAGCGUUGUUCGGAUUUACUGGGCGUAAAGGGCGCGUAGGCGGCGCGGUAAGUCACUUGUGAAAUCUCUGAGCUUAACUCAGAACGGCCAAGUGAUACUGCUGUGCUAGAGUGCGGAAGAGGCAACCGGAAUUCUUGGUGUAGCGGUGAAAUGCGUAGAUAUCAAGAGGAACACCUGAGGCGAAGGCGGGUUGCUGGGCCGACACUGACGCUGAUGCGCGAAAGCCAGGGGAGCAAACGGGAUUAGAUACCCGAGUAGUCCCUGUCUCUUAUAC
This 301-nucleotide ribosomal RNA is filed under the name uncultured bacterium. RNAcentral describes it as "partial 16S ribosomal RNA". It matches the Rfam family "Bacterial small subunit ribosomal RNA", at positions 509 to 807 of the family's 1533-position model. The record is from RNAcentral.